Long non-coding RNA from Podarcis muralis (Common wall lizard), 1797 nucleotides. The record is from Ensembl. NCBI's taxonomy places the organism in Eukaryota, Metazoa, Chordata, Lepidosauria, Squamata, Lacertidae.
ACAAGUAGGUCAUUGGAUGUAGGUUUUGCUUCUUUAUUGUUUCUAUGAACUGGAAGGAGUUUGUAACGUGUGAAGAGAUGGAUUCUGCAUAGGGCUGAAGUUUCUCGCUAAGCAACUUCAGCCCUAUGCAGAAUCCAUCUCUUCACACGUUACAAACUCCUUCCAGUUCAUAGAAACAAUAAAGAAGCAAAACCUACAUCCCAAUGACCUACUUGUGAGCUUCGAUGUUAUAUCUCUCUUCACACAAGUGCCCAUUAAUGAAGCCUUGACAGCCAUUCAAAACAAAUACAAUCCCCCCGAAUACAUCCUGGACCUGACCAACCACUGCCUAACCAACACGUACUUCAUCCACAAUGGACAAAGAUACAAACAGAUAGAAGGAGCACCUAUGGGAUCACCCCUCUCACCGGUCAUCGCAAACCUGUACAUGGAACACUUUGAAACCAAUGCUUUAGACAAGUCAGAACACAAACCCAAACUUUGGCUCAGAUAUGUUGACGACACCUUUGUAAUUUGGCCACACGGGAAGGAAAAACUAGAUAGCUUCCUCACACAUCUCAACAGCCUACACCCCAAAAUACAAUUCACUAUGGAAAUAGAAGCCAACAACCAACUUCCCUUCCUUGACGUCCUAAUCUACAAAAAACCUGAUGGCUCCCUAGGACACACUAUCUACCGGAAAAAAACACACACCAACCGCUACUUACAUGCACAAUCACACCACCACCCUGCACAAAUAAACUCCGUAGCCAAGACUCUCAUCUCCAGAACCAAACGCCUGGCUGACAAAGACCACUUGACAACUGAGUUACAGAAUCUCUCAAAUGUGUUAAUCGCCAAUGGAUACCAACAAAACAGGGUUACGAAGCUAAUCCAAAAAGAAACACCCCCCAAAAACCAAGACACAGAAGAAAACAAUGGCAUGGCCCUCCUUCCUUACAUCAAGGGCACUACAGAUAAAAUUAGCAAAAUCCUCCAUAAACACAAUAUCAAAACAGCCUUUUGCACCAACCAAAAAAUAGCCAAUAUCCUCAGAAACCCCAAGGAUAGAAUCCAGUUGGAAAACCAAGGGGUCUAUGAAAUACCCUGCAAAGUCUGCCCAGCCACGUACAUUGGACAAACAAACAGACGAAUAAAUGCACGUAUCGCAGAACACAAGAAUGCCGUCAAAAAAGAAGAAAAAACUUCCUCUCUUUUCCAACACAUGAAAGAAACAGGACACGAAAUUAAUUUUGCAGAUUCCAAAUUGCUCUUUAACAUGGAACAUCACCACAAGAGAAUAAUCAUGGAAGCCAUCGAGAUAGAGAAACACCCUCACAACAUGAACAAGCGUGACGACACAUCCCGCUUGCCAGACAUCUGGAAAUUAGCCCUCCCCACAAAAACCGACACCAGAUCCAGAGGCACACAGAACGCCAUCACCAAUCAACCACACCAGACCCAAACCCAGACCCUCUCCACAGAUAAAUUACAGACACCAUCCAGUAGCCAAACCAUGGUGGAACCUCCGGAUACUGCACCCCCCUGCAAUCCCUACACAGAUCUGGCUGGCACAGGCCACAAAACCACAGCUCGCCCCUAUACACGAAGCCAAGCCAGAGCCAAGUUCAAGCCAAGUUCAAGAGGUCAAGACACGAAGGCUUUAGCAACUAAUCCACACCUAAUGACCCACCCAAGUGGUACUCAGGAUAUCACUCAAGAAAUCACUCCAGAUAUCCCUCCAGUAAUUAAGGAACAAAAGAAGAAAAGGCACACUAGCCUGGGAACUUCCUCUCUGCCCAGAACAUUGGAGGCUAU